GGGGCAUUAGCUCAGUUGGCUAGAGCGCCGCGCUUGCACCGCGGAGGCCGAGGGUUCGAAUCCCUCAUGCUCCACCA
RNAcentral lists this transfer RNA (77 nucleotides) under Candidatus Peregrinibacteria bacterium CG2_30_44_17. Its description in RNAcentral is "tRNA-Ala". It matches the Rfam family "tRNA". From Rfam's summary of the family: Transfer RNA (tRNA) molecules are approximately 80 nucleotides in length. Their secondary structure includes four short double-helical elements and three loops (D, anti-codon, and T loops). Further hydrogen bonds mediate the characteristic L-shaped molecular structure. tRNAs have two regions of fundamental functional importance: the anti-codon, which is responsible for specific mRNA codon recognition, and the 3' end, to which the tRNAs corresponding amino acid is attached (by aminoacyl-tRNA synthetases). tRNAs cope with the degeneracy of the genetic code in two manners: having more than one tRNA (with a specific anti-codon) for a particular amino acid; and 'wobble' base-pairing, i.e. permitting non-standard base-pairing at the 3rd anti-codon position. RNAcentral also lists the same sequence under 4 other names. The record is from RNAcentral. Lineage: Bacteria; Candidatus Peregrinibacteriota.